CGGCGUGCUUAACACAUGCAAGUCGAACGGUGAUGCCCAGCUUGCUGGGUGGAUCAGUGGCGAACGGGUGAGUAACACGUGAGCAACCUGCCCUCCACUUCGGGAUAAGCCUUGGAAACGGGGUCUAAUACCGGAUAUGAGCCUGCAUCGCAUGGUGUGGGUUGGAAAGUUUUUCGGUGGGGGAUGGGCUCGCGGCCUAUCAGCUUGUUGGUGGGGUGAUGGCCUACCAAGGCGUCGACGGGUAGCCGGCCUGAGAGGGCGACCGGCCACACUGGGACUGAGACACGGCCCAGACUCCUACGGGAGGCAGCAGUGGGGAAUAUUGCACAAUGGGCGAAAGCCUGAUGCAGCGACGCCGCGUGAGGGAUGACGGCCUUCGGGUUGUAAACCUCUUUCAGCAGGGAAGAAGCGCAAGUGACGGUACCUGCAGAAGAAGCGCCGGCUAACUACGUGCCAGCAGCCGCGGUAAUACGUAGGGCGCAAGCGUUGUCCGGAAUUAUUGGGCGUAAAGAGCUCGUAGGCGGUCUGUCGCGUCUGGUGUGAAAUCCCGAGGCUCAACCUCGGGCUUGCAUCGGGUACGGGCAGACUAGAGUGCGGUAGGGGAGACUGGAAUUCCUGGUGUAGCGGUGGAAUGCGCAGAUAUCAGGAGGAACACCGAUGGCGAAGGCAGGUCUCUGGGCCGCAACUGACGCUGAGGAGCGAAAGCAUGGGGAGCGAACAGGAUUAGAUACCCUGGUAGUCCAUGCCGUAAACGUUGGGCACUAGGUGUGGGGCUCAUUCCACGAGUUCCGUGCCGCAGCUAACGCAUUAAGU
This 813-nucleotide ribosomal RNA is filed under the name bacterium. RNAcentral describes it as "bacterial SSU rRNA". It matches the Rfam family "Bacterial small subunit ribosomal RNA", at positions 40 to 865 of the family's 1533-position model. The record is from RNAcentral.